Molecule: long non-coding RNA, 663 nt
Organism: Argentina anserina (silverweed cinquefoil)
Lineage: Eukaryota; Viridiplantae; Streptophyta; Magnoliopsida; Rosales; Rosaceae
Exons: 3
Source: RefSeq, a predicted model, not a curated record
UGUUUAUAGGCUGUUGAUUUUUCUAAUAAAACUGUCACAAUCAAGAUGUGUGCCAAAGGACUUUCUGCUUAUUCAGGUCAAAGUCAAAGCGAGUUAGAGUAGGGUUCUUUGCAUGAAAAAUUGUGUACCAAAUUAGAGUGAGAUUUGAAAGAAUUAACUGCAGAUGCUGCACCUUGCUUUGCUGGGAAAAUGUUGCCAUAAAGAGACAGUUGAAAGCUGACCAAGAUUGCACACAUCAAGAGCACAUACUAAUGAUUUGCAAAACAUACUUAAUAUGGCAUGGAUAUCGAUCCAUAUUCUUUGUCAUUCCUUGGUCAGAUUUCCCGCUGAUGUUGGACAAGGUUGCUUCAAGCCUUCAACUUCCUUUCUUUCAGUUUUGGCAGAAUUUUCUCCCUUGUGUCUUCAUUGUAGACCAAAUCAGAACAUGUACAUAUAUGAAGCAGUCACCAAAAGAUAUAACAGCAGUACUUUCAGCACCAAGCUCAGUCUCACUCCUCUGGUAAUUCUACUUGAAAGUGCGAGUGCAUAUCUGUCUUUACUGCAUAGGGGCACACAUUAGUAUCUAAAAUGAAGAGGCCGGUAGAUAUUUUAUAUUUAGCUUUAUCCAAGCAGUUAGCUGAGCUUAACCGGGCUAAGCUGUUCACUGUUAUCCUUUUCAUUGAG